UCCGGGGUAGCUCAGUUGGUGGAGCGGUGCGCUGUUAACGCACAGGUCGCAGGUUCGAAUCCUGCCCCCGGAGCCA
RNAcentral lists this transfer RNA (76 nucleotides) under Nitrospira sp. RNAcentral's name for it is "tRNA-Asn". It matches the Rfam family "tRNA". From Rfam's summary of the family: Transfer RNA (tRNA) molecules are approximately 80 nucleotides in length. Their secondary structure includes four short double-helical elements and three loops (D, anti-codon, and T loops). Further hydrogen bonds mediate the characteristic L-shaped molecular structure. tRNAs have two regions of fundamental functional importance: the anti-codon, which is responsible for specific mRNA codon recognition, and the 3' end, to which the tRNAs corresponding amino acid is attached (by aminoacyl-tRNA synthetases). tRNAs cope with the degeneracy of the genetic code in two manners: having more than one tRNA (with a specific anti-codon) for a particular amino acid; and 'wobble' base-pairing, i.e. permitting non-standard base-pairing at the 3rd anti-codon position. Lineage: Bacteria; Pseudomonadati; Nitrospirota; Nitrospiria; Nitrospirales; Nitrospiraceae. The record is from RNAcentral.